CCCAAAAGGCAGGAGAUAAACCAGACACUGGCACAGACUCCAUAUGCACAGUCUCUCCUCCUGAAUUUCCUGGAUACGGCUGGGCGCAUGAUGGCCAGGUAGCGGUCAACACUCAUGCAGAGAGGCAACGUGACAAGGAAAAUGAAGUCAGACACAGCCAGGUUGAUGAUGAAGAUGUCGAUCAGUCUUCGGCUGCCCCGUUUGAAAUGCAGUGCACUCAUGAGGACUAGGUUCCCCAACACUCCCGUCAGGAACACAACUGCGUAGAAGAUGGGAAGGAAGACAGAUGUGCAUUCUGCAGACCUGAUGAAUGAAAGCAGCCUCUUCCUUUGCAGGCUUCCCCAGAAACAUCUACCUCCUGAAUCACGAAGAUUUAUGUAUGCCAUGAGCCCAGCCUGGGAAUGCUCUGAGCCGAGCUCAGCAAGGAUGCCUGAAAUGUGGUCGUGGCAAGUCUUUCCUAGUCAUCUGCAGUUAGCCCUGAGUUUCAUAAACCUCCUGAAGUAAGCAGGACACCUACCUCUAUAAAUGGCUUAGUUCCAGCUUCUAGGGGAAUUGGGAGCAUUUGCUGUUUAUAUUGACCCUACCCAUACAUUAUAGAUAUUCAACAAAUAUUUGCAAAUACUAAUAAUUUAAUGAUUGUUUACUAUGCCCAGACCCUGUGCUGGGCACUUUACGUGCAUUUCUUUUUUUCAUUUAAUCUUGCCAAUGGUCACUUGGGAUAGGGAGUUUAUCAACAUUCAUAUUUUGGAGAAAAGAAAACUGCGACUUAAGAGGUUAACUAACUUGUCUAAGGUCACAAAACUAGUUAGUGCACCCUAUUAUCCAAGCUUGAUUAGUCAGUUAUUCACCCUGGGAUCAGCUUCCUUGACUAUGAAUUGAGGUAGUGUCUUCCUCUUUCAAACUUCCCUUCUACCUGGGUUUAUUUACCAUGUGACUUCACCAGAGAGGUAGUUCUGAAGAUAGGGGACUUGUGAUGAAGGCCAAAGGACAAGGAUAUUUUCUGGUACAUGACUCCUCCUUUCUGGUAGGAGUCAAAUUGCAUAUUAACAAUUUGCCUGUACAUCUCCACCACUUUCUCUAGAUGGUGCCUCUGACAAAGUUCUCCUUUAGUCAGACAUUCUACAUGAAAAUCCAGUCAUGUUUUAAUAUUAUAUUUGGCUAGUACCUUAUUUUAUUUAUGUGCUAGAUAUGAAUAUCAGUUUGCCAACUCAGGUGAAAGAAGUAGAACCACAGACAGAAAAACAGAUACUGUGCCUGCAACCUA
Leopardus geoffroyi (Geoffroy's cat) is the source of this 1264-nucleotide long non-coding RNA. RefSeq lists it as uncharacterized. Lineage: Eukaryota; Metazoa; Chordata; Mammalia; Carnivora; Felidae. The transcript has 3 exons. The record is from RefSeq and is a predicted model, not a curated record.